ACUAAGUCCACUCCUCCAUACGCAACAUUAAUUAAUAUGUUUUCCCCAAGAAUAUCGAAAACCAGAUCCAAAUGCCGACUCCUGAGAAUGACAACUAACGGCGCUCAAGAAAUAAAAAGGAGCGAGAGAGAGGCUUCGUGUUGUCGCUCUCUUCUACGAAAUGCCUGGACCUUCGGUUUCAAUUGACGGCGAAACUAACAAUGUGAAGGAUUUAGCUAAAGCUCAUACCAAUAGUCCUAAAGAGUGAAGAGCUAUGCAACCUAUUGUCAUGAGCCCAUUGGCAGAGAAGAUCGAAUAUACAGACGCAAGAAAAAUAUGACUCUCCAAAGUCGAAGUGCUAUGGCAAAGAGGGUUAAACUGUCCAUUCCCGCAUGGGCAAAUGGCGCUGUUUUUCAAGGACUCUUCAGAAGUCGCGAAAAUUGACACGCCGAGAGCGGUCUUCGCCGAGGAGAGUCUUCUGGUAGCGGUUGAGAUUCGAUCCAAGUCUUGUUUUGGAAAGCGAAGGCAAUUUGGAUAUUCGGAUUGAGUGGUAGAAACGUUCGUUCCGCAUGCUUGGACAGGAUAAUCUCGGAAGGCGUUCUAAUCAAGGGGAGUGUUGAGGCUUGCCAGCAUUCCAUAACAAUUGCGCUGUGACCGAUGAGUUUUGGUUAAUUUCAAUAUUUAGACUGUUAGGCGAUCGAAGAAUGAGGUAGAAUCAUACUCAUCAAAUAACAAGAGUUUUUAGGCUAUUUUUCGAUUCAAGGUCUAGGCAAUGCUGGAUUUACAAAACCUAGAGUAAUUCUAUCUUUAGCUGAGCAUGCGCAAAGUUUGCUGUUUCAAAAAUGUGUGGCUCAAGAAGGAAAACCCUGGCUGGUU
Molecule: small RNA, 855 nt
Filed under: Histoplasma capsulatum
Lineage: Eukaryota; Fungi; Ascomycota; Eurotiomycetes; Onygenales; Ajellomycetaceae
Also listed under: 1 other name
Description: hypothetical RNA
Source: RNAcentral